CGAACGAGCGAGAGGAGGUUACUUUCUCAAGCGAGUGGCGAACGGGUGAGUAACGCGUGAGGAACCUGCCUCAAAGAGGGGGACAACAGUUGGAAACGACUGCUAAUACCGCAUAAGCCCACGACCCGGCAUCGGGUAGAGGGAAAAGGAGCAAUCCGCUUUGAGAUGGCCUCGCGUCCGAUUAGCUAGUUGGUGAGGUAAUGGCCCACCAAGGCGACGAUCGGUAGCCGGACUGAGAGGUUGAACGGCCACAUUGGGACUGAGACACGGCCCAGACUCCUACGGGAGGCAGCAGUGGGGAAUAUUGCACAAUGGGGGAAACCCUGAUGCAGCGACGCCGCGUGGAGGAAGAAGGUCUUCGGAUUGUAAACUCCUGUUGUUGAGGAAGAUAAUGACGGUACUCAACAAGGAAGUGACGGCUAACUACGUGCCAGCAGCCGCGGUAAAACGUAGGUCACAAGCGUUGUCCGGAAUUACUGGGUGUAAAGGGAGCGCGGGCGGGAAGACAAGUUGGAAGUGAAAUCCAUGGGCUCAACCCAUGAACUGCUUUCAAAACUGUUUUUCUUGAGUAGUGCAGAGGUAGGCGGAAUUCCCGGUGUAGCGGUGGAAUGCGUAGAUAUCGGGAGGAACACCAGUGGCGAAGGCGGCCUACUGGGCACCAACUGACGCUGAGGCUCGAAAGUGUGGG
RNAcentral lists this ribosomal RNA (688 nucleotides) under uncultured Lachnospiraceae bacterium. Its description in RNAcentral is "bacterial SSU rRNA". It matches the Rfam family "Bacterial small subunit ribosomal RNA", at positions 63 to 765 of the family's 1533-position model. Lineage: Bacteria; Bacillati; Bacillota; Clostridia; Lachnospirales; Lachnospiraceae. The record is from RNAcentral.